ACCGCCGUAGCUCAGUGGUCAGAGCACCGCCCUGAUUAGGCGGAAGCCGGAGGUUCGAUUCCCUCCGUCGGCA
This 73-nucleotide transfer RNA is filed under the name Micromonospora sagamiensis. Its description in RNAcentral is "tRNA-Ile". It matches the Rfam family "tRNA". From Rfam's summary of the family: Transfer RNA (tRNA) molecules are approximately 80 nucleotides in length. Their secondary structure includes four short double-helical elements and three loops (D, anti-codon, and T loops). Lineage: Bacteria; Bacillati; Actinomycetota; Actinomycetes; Micromonosporales; Micromonosporaceae. The record is from RNAcentral.